CCCCUUCCCCAAAAACUAUUCUUCCUCUAUACUUAGAAAGCUGGUUUUCUAGCUAUGGUAAUAAAUGGACAAUGAAAUAAGCUCAUUGGACCCGGGGGCGGUACCCGGCGCCUCCACCAAAGUAUAAUUGAAGGAAUUAUACUUUGGCGGGGGCGAAAUAGGAUCGACAAGAGUGUAAAGAUUGCUCUUUUACUCGGCAUUGUACCACCGUUAUCGGACUAAAUGAGUAGUUGCAAAUGACAACUAUGCGGAAGCACGUCUCGCCGCUUAAGCGGUGCGAAUGUUUCAAACUAAGUCUUAAUCUGUCGCAAGGUUAAGCGGGGUUCGAAGGCACCUGGCAACAGAAGCCUUCACU
This is a non-coding RNA of Bartonella bacilliformis KC583, 355 nucleotides long. It matches the Rfam family "Alphaproteobacteria transfer-messenger RNA". Rfam says of the family: Bacterial tmRNA, also known as 10Sa RNA or SsrA, is named for its dual tRNA and mRNA-like properties. Its role is to liberate the mRNA from a stalled ribosome. NCBI's taxonomy places the organism in Bacteria, Pseudomonadati, Pseudomonadota, Alphaproteobacteria, Hyphomicrobiales, Bartonellaceae. The record is from Rfam.